UACGUAGGGUGCAAGCGUUAAUCGGAAUUACUGGGCGUAAAGCGCGCGCAGGCGGUCCUUUAAGUCUGAUGUGAAAGCCCACGGCUCAACCGUGGAGGGUCAUUGGAAACUGGGGGACUUGAGUGCAGAAGAGGAAAGUGGAAUUCCACGUGUAGCGGUGAAAUGCGUAGAGAUGUGGAGGAACACCAGUGGCGAAGGCGACUUUCUGGUCUGUAACUGACGCUGAGGCGCGAAAGCGUGGGGAGCAAAAAGG
RNAcentral lists this ribosomal RNA (253 nucleotides) under uncultured bacterium. RNAcentral describes it as "partial 16S ribosomal RNA". It matches the Rfam family "Bacterial small subunit ribosomal RNA", at positions 524 to 776 of the family's 1533-position model. The record is from RNAcentral.